Molecule: transfer RNA, 73 nt
Filed under: Burkholderia sp. OK233
Lineage: Bacteria; Pseudomonadati; Pseudomonadota; Betaproteobacteria; Burkholderiales; Burkholderiaceae
Description: tRNA_Lys_TTT
Rfam family: tRNA
About the family: Transfer RNA (tRNA) molecules are approximately 80 nucleotides in length. Their secondary structure includes four short double-helical elements and three loops (D, anti-codon, and T loops).
Source: RNAcentral
GGGUCGUUAGCUCAACAGGUAGAGCAGCGGACUUUUAAUCCGUUGGUCACAGGUUCGAAUCCAGUACGGCCCA